CACAAAAAAUUUACCGAGGCGGGCUAAAAUGCUUAACCGAAGCGGUUUUUCCAACCGCCUCGGAGCAAAGGUCACGGUUAAUAUGACCAUUUUGCGAGGCGGUUCGAUGCCCGUCACGAUUAAUCAAAUAAAAAAAUAAAAAAAGAGAAAAAGCCCAAAGGGCUUGGAUCUGGGUCUCUUGCCCUGGCGACAGGGGAGCCGCGCUCCGCGUACGCGCCGGCAGCUCGCCGUGCAGUCACUGCGUCCAUCCGUCGUGGGUGUGGACGACCUCGCGCGCCGCCGUGGGGUGGAGGCCUCCAAGCCUUGGAUCUACGCCGCCAUGCCCUCGAUCUGUGCUGCACCGCCCUUGGUUUGUGUUGCCCAGCCCCA
Molecule: long non-coding RNA, 369 nt
Filed under: Sorghum bicolor (sorghum)
Lineage: Eukaryota; Viridiplantae; Streptophyta; Magnoliopsida; Poales; Poaceae
Description: long non-coding RNA (SBIC_LNC001313)
Source: RNAcentral